RNAcentral lists this ribosomal RNA (365 nucleotides) under uncultured Rhodoferax sp. RNAcentral describes it as "bacterial SSU rRNA". It matches the Rfam family "Bacterial small subunit ribosomal RNA", at positions 1014 to 1382 of the family's 1533-position model. The record is from RNAcentral. Lineage: Bacteria; Pseudomonadati; Pseudomonadota; Betaproteobacteria; Burkholderiales; Comamonadaceae.
CUCGCAAGAGAGCCGGAACACAGGUGCUGCAUGGCUGUCGUCAGCUCGUGUCGUGAGAUGUUGGGUUAAGUCCCGCAACGAGCGCAACCCUUGUCAUUAGUUGCCAUCAUUGGUUGGGCACUCUAAUGAGACUGCCGGUGACAAACCGGAGGAAGGUGGGGAUGACGUCAAGUCCUCAUGGCCCUUAUAGGUGGGGCUACACACGUCAUACAAUGGCUGGUACAAAGGGUUGCCAACCCGCGAGGGGGAGCCAAUCCCAUAAAGCCAGUCGUAGUCCGGAUCGUAGUCUGCAACUCGACUACGUGAAGUCGGAAUCGCUGGUAAUCGUGGAUCAGAAUGUCACGGUGAAUACGUUCCCGGGUCUU